GACGAACGCUGGCGGCGUGCUUAACACAUGCAAGUCGAACGGAAAGGCCCUGCUUUUGUGGGGUGCUCGAGUGGCGAACGGGUGAGUAACACGUGAGUAACCUGCCCUUGACUUUGGGAUAACUUCAGGAAACUGGGGCUAAUACCGGAUAGGAGCUCCUGCUGCAUGGUGGGGGUUGGAAAGUUUCGGCGGUUGGGGAUGGACUCGCGGCUUAUUAGCUUGUUGGUGGGGUAGUGGCUUACCAAGGCCUUGACGGGUAGCCGGCCUGAGAGGGUGACCGGCCACAUUGGGACUGAGAUACGGCCCAGACUCCUACGGGAGGCAGCAGUGGGGAAUAUUGCACAAUGGGCGGAAGCCUGAUGCAGCAACGCCGCGUGCGGGAUGACGGCCUUCGGGUUGUAAACCGCUUUCGCCUGUGACGAAGCGUGAGUGACGGUAAUGGGUAAAGAAGCACCGGCUAACUACGUG
This 468-nucleotide ribosomal RNA is filed under the name uncultured bacterium. RNAcentral's name for it is "partial 16S ribosomal RNA". It matches the Rfam family "Bacterial small subunit ribosomal RNA", at positions 28 to 507 of the family's 1533-position model. The record is from RNAcentral.